CUACGGGUGGCACCAGUAACGAAUCUUCCGCAAUGCGCGAAAGCGUGACGGGGUAAUGCCGCGUGUGGGAUGAAGCCCUUCGGGGUGUAAACCACUGUCAGGGUUCACCAAAUAAAUGAGGAGACCCAAAGGAAGAGCCGGCUAACUCUGUGCCAGCAGCCGCGGUAAUACAGAGGGCUCAAGCGUUAAUCGGAAUCACUGGGCUUAAAGCGUUCGUAGGCGGACUUGUAGGCCCGUUGUGAAAUCCCACGGCUCAACCGUGGAAUUGCAGCGGGAACCAUAAGUCUUGAGACAGGUAGAGGUGGUCGGAACGAUAGGUGGAGCGGUGAAAUGCGUAGAUAUCUAUCGGAACGCCAAUGGAGAAAUCAGGCCACUGGGCCUGUUCUGACGCUGAGGAACGAAAGCGUGGGGAUCAAACGGGAUUAGAUACCCCGGUAGUC
Molecule: ribosomal RNA, 440 nt
Filed under: uncultured bacterium
Lineage: Bacteria
Description: partial 16S ribosomal RNA
Rfam family: Bacterial small subunit ribosomal RNA
Source: RNAcentral